AUCAGAGUGUGUUCAGUCCUUUCAGAGCCACUGACACGCAGCACAAUGAUGAUGGUACUGAUUCUACUGCUGGGGACACUGGGACUCCUCGCUCACCAGUCCUUUGGGGAAAUCGUCCUGACUCAGUCUCCAGGAUCUCAGUCUGUUUCUCCAGGAGCAUCUGUUACUCUCACCUGUAGAACCAGUCAGGGUGUUAGUAAUUACCUUCACUGGUACCUGCAGAAACCUGGAGAAGCUCCUAAACUCCUGAUCUAUUAUGCAUCUUCUCGUCAGUCUGGGAUUCCAGAUCGUUUCAGUGGCAGUGGAUCUGGAACAGAAUUUAGUCUAAAGAUCUCUGGAUUUCAGGCUGAAGAUGCAGGAGAUUAUUACUGUCAGCAGGGUUACAGCACUCCAUUCACACAGUGUUAUAGCGUCGUACAAAAACCCUCCCUCAGCUGUAGAGGAAGUGCUCUGAGUCAGAAACACACACUGAUCUGAGAACAGCUGCAGAGCUGCUAAAGCUGCACUCCACUGAACAUCAUCAAACGUCUUCAUGUUUGAAAAAUAAUCCUUCCUGAAAAGCAGAAAUCUCUUCAUCAGCUGUUCCUGCUGUGAUGAAAAAUCAGCUGAUGUGUGUAAUGGUAUCUGAUGAUUUCCACCUUCUGCUAAGAGGAGCAGUGUCUACUACACACUACUGUAACACACAAUGUAGUGCAGGAUCUUUCAAUAAGACUCCAUGUUCAAUUCUAUAUAAUUCUAUAUUUCAAGAUUCAUUUUCUCAUCAUCUGUAAAGUUUAAACACAAAACAGUCUCCUGUUCUACCACAACCUGAUCAAAUGCAGACUGAUGGACAGUGAUGUGGCCACUAGAUGGUGCUGUAAUGGAACUACGCAUGCUGAUCUCUUACUAUGAUGAAGAGAAGAUAGAUUGGUUCUUUUAAAUCUAUAAGAUGAACAAAUUUUUUUGUAUUCCCAAAAUACCUGACCAGUCUGAUCAUCCUCCUCUGAUCUCUCUCAUCAACAAGGUGUUUCAGACUGCAGACCCUCUGAUUACAGGAUGGUUUGUGUUUUUCACACCAUUCUGUAAAAACUCUAGAGACAGUUGUGUGUGAAAAUCCCAGGAGAUCAGCAGUUUCUGAAAAACUCAAACCAGCCCAUCUGAUACCAACAAACCAUUUCACUGUGAAAGUCACAGAGAUCAGACUUUUACUCCAUUCUGGUGUUUGCUGUGAAUUUUAACUGAAGCUCUUCACCUAAAUCUGCAUGAUUUUAUACAUUGUGCUGCUGCCACAUGAUUGGCUGAUUGGAGAACUGGAUGAAUGUGCAGGUGAACACAGGUGCAGGUUCCUGAUAAAGUGGCAGAUAUAAUUUAUUCCAUACCUGGAAAAUGUUCCUCAACCAACCCAGAUAAAUAAAAUCAGUUUGAGCAGUGAAACUGAGAGAGAGAGCGAGAGAGAGAGAGAGAGAGAGAGAUCAGUGAAGUGAGAGAGAGAUUUACAUGAAGACGGCUGAGUGAUCCUCUUUCUCCCAGAAUAGAGCAGCACUUUCAGCAGAUGUUCAACUUCCUUCUGCUUCUUAAGAGUCCAGACUCAAU
Molecule: non-coding RNA, 1572 nt
Organism: Hemibagrus wyckioides
Lineage: Eukaryota; Metazoa; Chordata; Actinopteri; Siluriformes; Bagridae
Source: the annotation of a RefSeq genome assembly